UACGUAGGCAGCAAGCGUUGUUCGGAGUUACUGGGCGUAAAGGGUGCGUAGGCGGCUUUUUAAGUUUGGUGUGAAAUCUCCCGGCUCAACUGGGAGGGUGCGCCGAAUACUGAGAGGCUAGAGUGUGGGAGAGGAAAGUGGAAUUCCUGGUGUAGCGGUGAAAUGCGUAGAUAUCAGGAGGAACACCGGUGGUGUAAACGGCUUUCUGGACCAUAACUGACGCUGAUGCACGAAAGCGUGGGUAGCAAACAGGAUUAGAACCUACCGUAGUCAGUCCAAGACCAG
RNAcentral lists this ribosomal RNA (285 nucleotides) under uncultured bacterium. RNAcentral describes it as "partial 16S ribosomal RNA". It matches the Rfam family "Bacterial small subunit ribosomal RNA", at positions 524 to 804 of the family's 1533-position model. The record is from RNAcentral.